RNAcentral lists this ribosomal RNA (305 nucleotides) under uncultured bacterium. RNAcentral describes it as "bacterial SSU rRNA". It matches the Rfam family "Bacterial small subunit ribosomal RNA", at positions 337 to 638 of the family's 1533-position model. The record is from RNAcentral.
CCCUACGGGGGGCAGCAGUGAGGAAUAUUGGUCAAUGGGCGGGAGCCUGAACCAGCCAAGUCGCGUGAGGGAAGACGGUCCUAUGGAUUGUAAACCUCUUUAGGCGGGGAGCAAUGCCGGGCACGCGUGCCCGGAGGGAGAGUACCCGCAGAAUAAGCAUCGGCUAACUCCGUGCCAGCAGCCGCGGUAAUACGUAUGGUGCAAGCGUUAUCCGGAUUUACUGGGCGUAAAGGGAGCGCAGGCGGCGCGCCAAGUCUGAUGUGAAACCCCGGGGCUCAACUCCGGGCAUGCAUUGGAAACUGGCG